RNAcentral lists this long non-coding RNA (530 nucleotides) under Hordeum vulgare. RNAcentral's name for it is "long non-coding RNA (HVUL_LNC014915)". The record is from RNAcentral. Lineage: Eukaryota; Viridiplantae; Streptophyta; Magnoliopsida; Poales; Poaceae.
CUGCCGGUGACUCGAUCUAGCUAGCAUACGAAGCUAGCUAGCCACCUCUGCAAAUCCAUUCAGCUAGUUGUGUGCCUGGUUAGCUACGUUGCUGCGUACGUGUACGUCUCUGCGGAAAGUACUCGUUGGAGUUAGCAUUAGGACGGGACCAAAGCCAACAAGACGGACGCCCAAGUUGUUGAUGUGGGGGUGCCGACUAUCGACCCUGCGCAGUCCACCACCUCUGGGUCUAGCCAAGACCGAGGUCAGCUCCCAUGUGAGCUGCAAAUAGUUCGUACAACUUGAACAUGAAUACACAAAGCAUGAGAACAAGACGAGGAGAGGAACUUGUCGGAAUUGCAUAGAGGAACCAACCCAAUCGGCAUGGCUGUAUUGGGUGUCUCCCCAAGAUGAGCUUCCACCAGAUCUGAUGGCGGAGCACCACCGCUGGCUCCCACCAUUCUCAGGGCACCAAAUCCCGUCUGGCCUUCAUGGUUGUCGCCGUUGUUGGUGAUGGUCGAGCUCAGGGCCUCCGGAUCUAUGGUAGGCGG